GCCUCUGGGAUAGCUCAGUUGGUAAAGCGCGAGCCUCUUAAUCUCAGGGUCACGGGUUCGAGCCCCACACUGGACA
Non-coding RNA from Podarcis lilfordi (Lilford's wall lizard), 76 nucleotides. The record is from the annotation of a GenBank genome assembly. Lineage: Eukaryota; Metazoa; Chordata; Lepidosauria; Squamata; Lacertidae.